GUGGAGAAAUCUAUAUGCUAUUCAUGCUCCUGCUAUGUCUUCUAAAAAAUUAAAAAAUCCAUGUUUCUUUUAGGUAAAUAUUUAUAGCUCAUGUCAAGAGGAGUGAACAAGGCAGCUUGAAAGAUCCCUUGUACUGCUUUCAGAACUCAAGGCAGUUUUAAAAGAGCUCCUGGAAGGCAAGGCCUGGAUCCUAUUUAAAUUGAUGUCUCCAUGGACAGCAUCAAGAAGAUAUUCAGUAAAAUCUGUUGAGUUGAAUUGUCUACAGUAAAGAACAGAAAUUAACAAGGAAUUGCUCCAUUUAGGUUUUCAUCCUUUCCUUUCAAGGCAAGUAUUUUGCUUAAGUAAGAUUUUUGCCCUCAUUAAAGCUUUCAUGCACAAAAUACAUGUGAUCUGAACACUUAGCAUGGUGAAUUCUAUUUUGUUUAAAAUUUUCUUCUAUCCUUAGGCUUCCUUCUCUUCCUUUGUCUUUGUGGUACAUAUCAACUUCCCACUCUGCUG
Molecule: long non-coding RNA, 498 nt
Filed under: Callithrix jacchus (white-tufted-ear marmoset)
Lineage: Eukaryota; Metazoa; Chordata; Mammalia; Primates; Cebidae
Description: lncRNA (ENSCJAG00000077853.1)
Source: RNAcentral